RNAcentral lists this ribosomal RNA (496 nucleotides) under uncultured bacterium. RNAcentral's name for it is "partial 16S ribosomal RNA". It matches the Rfam family "Bacterial small subunit ribosomal RNA", at positions 28 to 506 of the family's 1533-position model. The record is from RNAcentral.
GAUGAACGCUGGCGGCGUGCCUAAUACAUGCAAGUCGAGCGAACAGAUGAGGAGCUUGCUCCUCUGACGUUAGCGGCGGACGGGUGAGUAACACGUGGAUAACCUACCUAUAAGACUGGGAUAACUUCGGGAAACCGGAGCUAAUACCGGAUAAUAUAUUGAACCGCAUGGAUCAAUAGUGAAAGACGGCUUUGCUGUCACUUAUAGAUGGACCCGCGCCGCAUUAGCUAGUUGGUAAGGUAACGGCUAACCAAGGCAACGAUGCGUAGCCGACCUGAGAGGGGGUUCGGCCACACUGGAACUGAGACACGGUCCAGCCCCCUACGGGAGGCAGCAGUAGGGAAUCUGCCGCAAUGGGCGAAGGCCUGACGGGGCAACGCCGCGUGAGUGAUGAAGGUCUUCGGAUCGUAAAACCCUGUUAUUAGGGAAGAACAAAUGUGUAAGUAACUAUGCUCGUCUUGACGGAACCAAAGCAGAAGGCCACGGCUAAUUACGU